This is a non-coding RNA of Prunus mume (Japanese apricot), 1083 nucleotides long. The record is from RefSeq and is a predicted model, not a curated record. Lineage: Eukaryota; Viridiplantae; Streptophyta; Magnoliopsida; Rosales; Rosaceae.
CUUCUCUUCUCCACGUUUUUCUACCUCUGCAUGGUUGUUUAGAUGUCCUUGAUGAGUGCAUUUCGGCUUCAUUACAAUUUGACAAGGUGCAAGGAGAUCUCGAUCAUCAGCUGCCAGACACAACAUUGGGAUUAAAGAUGAGAGCAAUGAAAUAAUGUUCAGAGAUGAAGAUAUUAAGCAACUGGAGAACAUACAUGAGCUGGUGCGAGGGCCAAAUUACGUUGAAGUGAUUUGUGGUUGCACAAGCAAGAAAUAUGGAGAUCAAGUCGGCAAGCUUAAGAUUUCUUCCACCGGCCAAUUCCAAAUAAAUUGUGAAUGCUCUGCACCUUCAACCUGCGAGGAAGUGGGGGUGUUAGAAGAAAUUGGCAAAUUGACACCAGAGGAAUUCGAGAAGCAUUCAAGGGAGAAAGAAGGGGGACCUAGAAAGUGGAAGAGCAAUAUUUGGGUAACAAUCAAGGGCAAGAAAGUCCCACUUUGGAAAUCAGGGCUGAUGAGAUAUUACAAGCAUGCCUCCAAUGAAGGCAAAUUGGGUUCAAGCAGUCGGCGUAGAGGGACUUUUCACAGGGAUGAAUUUCUACUUUGCUCCAAGUGUAAGAAAGAACGCAGGUUUCGCCUGCGAACGAAACAAGAGUGCAAAGCCUUCCAUUAUGCCUCCAUGAAUAAGAAGUGGAAAUGCUCUGAUCAUCCAUGCGACAAAAUAAAAUGCGGUGAUGAAGAAGAAAGAGCAAGUCGAAAAAGCUGUAGGGGUUGUCCUCGUACAUCAACAUGCAAGGGUUGCACAUGUUGUGUGUGUCUUGGGUGCCUCAGAUGCCGCUACUUGGACUGCGACUGCCGCAUCUGUGUUGAUUUCAUGCAGAAUGCCCAACCAUGAGCCCCUCUCAAUCUCAUCUCAUCCCUCCUUGUUCGAGAUUUUGUGAAUUUUAUUCGAGUAGUAAUUUUGGAUCUUCAAAAAUUUCCUUUGAUUUCAGAACAAGAUGGCCUUUUAUGCCAAUGAGGUGAAGAAAAUAAGCGGAUGCAUAGAAAGUACUUGAAGUUUGAAGGGUGAGAAUAGCAUUCACUACCAUUUUAGUUUUGAUGAAGCUA